Long non-coding RNA from Mauremys reevesii (Reeves's turtle), 1665 nucleotides. RefSeq lists it as uncharacterized. NCBI's taxonomy places the organism in Eukaryota, Metazoa, Chordata, Testudines, Geoemydidae. The transcript has 4 exons. The record is from RefSeq and is a predicted model, not a curated record.
GGGAGCAGACAGUCUGUCCCAGGCCUUCCAGAGGGGAAGGUCAGUCUCCAAAGGUGGGAGACUAGCACCAGGGACAGCGCAGUGCUGGGCAGACCAGGGGAACAGAAGGGAACUCCAGCCCGGUAUCUGACAGGCUGCAGGUCCUGAGGGGAAGGGCCUAGCUGGUAUGAGGGGCCGAAGGGGAAGUGGCCCAGGGAUGUGGACAGAUGGAGGGAGAGGAGGAGGGCAGGACGGCUGCCACUAGAGGGUCCCUGGAUUGGGACCCAGAGUAGAGGGCGGGCCUGGAUCCAUCCCUUCCCGCCUUGCAGUACACCCCGCCAUCGGCUGUGGGGAGCAGCCAGAACAGACCACGCCAGAUCCCUGAGAGGGAUUAGACUUUGGGGGGGGGUGGUUGUACAUGGUGGCUGGGGUGCAGAGAGACUGCUGAUCAACCCCCUCCUCUCCCGGAAGGGGGUGUGGAUGGACUAAGGGGCACUGCCAGAGGGCAGUGGUCUGGAAGAGGACGCUGCAAACUGAAGAGCGACGUGGGCUCAGACGCCAACCGAGGGCGAGACAACGGACGGGACGCCACCAGGAGAGGGUGUUCCACUGGACUGAGCUAAUUCCUGGAGCAACCAGCCGGAGGCGCUGUGGUGCAGGCACCAGUCAUCUCUGGCAGAAGCCCCUAGCUUCACCAUCCCACCACAGGGCAGAAGCCCUGAGCUCCCCCUCUCCCAGUCUGAAGAAGAAAGCUUGGCAGUACAAGACACAAAUUACUGGGGGAAAGUUGGAGAGUGGAGUUUGCUGGUGUUGCCCUGCAGUGUAAUUCAUGGCAACAUGAUUUUGCAAGGAACAGCAACUACAACUACAGAAGCAUCCUAAUCCACAUAGCAGCACGAGCAUCUGGCGCAACUGUGAGCACCGCUCCAUCAGUAUACAAAAUGAGAAUCCUUCCCCGCAAUGUCUUUUGAACAUCUAUUGCUAAUGGCUUCAGGGAAGGAACCCUACUGGAGGCAAAAGUAGAUUUCCUUUUUUAGCCUUUUCCCACCCGUACAAGCUGUGAACCGUGAACUUUGUGACCUACUAGUAUGGUUUAUAGUAAAGUUGGCAGCUGGAAGUUAAUGGCAAUUUUAAUUGUGAAAGAUGCCAUUCUCUCCAAUUAGGAGAAAAAGGGAACUGUUGAGACAGUGAAGCAACAGACCUGGUGAAGAGGUCGUUCUUCUGUGUUAUCUAAUGAGUAAAUAUUGCUUUAGUCCAAUUAGAGAGGUUGGCCUGUUUAAGCUGCGAAGCUCAGUACUUCUAGAUAAAACCAAGACCUGUUUCCUGAUGUGCCUUCUACAGCAAGACAGUAGGAAGAGAUGUUUGGUCAAUGCUCCGGCACUAUGUAAAUAUGAUUCUCCAUUAGUCCUGGCAUGUUUAACAAACAAAAGCUGAAAAGUUAUUGCAAAACUCCCCACAGAUGUUCAUAGGUGGUCUAUUAGCAAAAGUGAUAAUGUGCAAUUUCAUUUGGACAGUCUGUUAAGAGCUUUUUAAUAGGCUAAGAACUAAUUCCCUAAGAGAUGCAGGGCCUGCCCCUUACUUACUAAGAACCUGAAAACUGCUGUUUGGCAAAAACAAUCAAGUCAAUGUGCUGAUUUACCUUCAUUUGAUGCUAUUUGUGCCACAACUGCACAUGCAUUAAGAAGA